GACGUAGGGCGCGAGCGUUGUCCGGAUUUAUUGGGCGUAAAGGGCGCGUAGGCGGCCACCGCAAGUCGACUGUGAAAUCUCCGGGCUUAACCCGGAAAGGUCAGCCGAUACUGCGGGGCUAGAGUGCAGAAGGGGCAACUGGAAUUCUCGGUGUAGCGGUGAAAUGCGUAGAUAUCGAGAGGAACACCUGCGGCGAAGGCGGGUUGCUGGGCUGACAUUGACGCUGAUGUGCGAAAGCUAGGGGAGCGAACGGG
This 254-nucleotide ribosomal RNA is filed under the name uncultured bacterium. RNAcentral's name for it is "partial 16S ribosomal RNA". It matches the Rfam family "Bacterial small subunit ribosomal RNA", at positions 524 to 776 of the family's 1533-position model. The record is from RNAcentral.